This 203-nucleotide long non-coding RNA is filed under the name Trifolium pratense (red clover). RNAcentral's name for it is "long non-coding RNA (TPRA_LNC014159)". The record is from RNAcentral. Lineage: Eukaryota; Viridiplantae; Streptophyta; Magnoliopsida; Fabales; Fabaceae.
ACAAAGAAGUCAUCCAGUGAUCAAAUCAGAUCUACACAAUACAAAUGAAUAAUGAUCCUCUCUUAAAUAUCACACACAGACCAAAACAAAACAAUCACCUAUACAAUUUAAAUGAGCAGGAGUAACAUUCAUGUUGGAUAUGCCUUGAAAUCUCGGUAACAAAAAGUUGGAAAAAAUAUAUUUUGUGAAAGAAUAUAUUUUUU